This 903-nucleotide non-coding RNA is filed under the name Nematostella vectensis (starlet sea anemone). Its description in RNAcentral is "Eukaryotic large subunit ribosomal RNA". It matches the Rfam family "Eukaryotic large subunit ribosomal RNA", at positions 1 to 731 of the family's 3401-position model. The record is from Rfam by way of RNAcentral. Lineage: Eukaryota; Metazoa; Cnidaria; Anthozoa; Actiniaria; Edwardsiidae.
UGACCUCAGAUCAGGCAAGGCAACCCGCUGAAUUUAAGCAUAUUAAUAANCGGAGGAAAAGAAACUAACAAGGAUUCCCCUAGUAAUGGCGAAUGAAGCGGGAACAGCUCAAAUUUAAAAUCUCCGUUGCUUGCAACGGCGAAUUGUAGUUUCGAGAAGCACUUUCUCGGCGGAUCCGAGGUCGUCCAAGUUGCUUGGAACAGCACGUCGUAGAGGGUGACAACCCCGUCUGCGGCGAUCUCGGCCGUUCACGAUGUGCUUUCGACGAGUCGGGUUGUUUGGGAAUGCAGCCCAAAAUGGGUGGUAAACUCCAUCUAAAGCUAAAUAUUGGCACGAGACCGAUAGCGAACAAGUACCGUGAGGGAAAGAUGAAAAGCACUUUGAAAAGAGAGUUAAAAAGUACGUGAAACCGUUAAAAGGGAAACGAAUGGGGUUAGCAAUGCGUCGUGCGAGAUUCAGCCGGUGGGUGGGCCAGGCGGGCGGUUGGCGGAUCUGAAUGGACCGCUGCCGUUCGGGUUGGUUUCCCGACCGUCGCACUUCUCGCAGGCGCGCGCCAACGUCGGUUAGGGCUGGGUUUCAAAGGCGGUGGAAAGGUAGGUUUGGACUCUCGGGCCCGAACUGUUACAGUCCUCCGUUCGUCAUGGCCCGGACCUGACCGAGGAGCUUGCGGUGCAUGCCGUUCGGCUAGGGUCCCGUCUUCCCGGUCGGUCGUCGAAUGCGGUGGACUGCGUGCAGUGCGCCGCGACUGCUGCCGGUCGCGAGGGCGGUGAUUUCGUACUAUGCACCCACGACGUUGGCGAUCAUAUGGCCUCAUCCGACCCGUCUUGAAACACGGACCAAGGAGUCUAACAUGUGUGCGAGUCUUUGAGUGAUCGAAACUCCGAGGCGAAAUGAAAGUGAAGG